RNAcentral lists this transfer RNA (49 nucleotides) under Catumiri parvum. RNAcentral's name for it is "tRNA-Leu". The record is from RNAcentral. Lineage: Eukaryota; Metazoa; Arthropoda; Arachnida; Araneae; Theraphosidae.
CUCAAAAUUGGCAGAACAUUGCAAAAGAAUUAGAAUCUUUUAACCCAUA